Molecule: long non-coding RNA, 944 nt
Filed under: Pan troglodytes (chimpanzee)
Lineage: Eukaryota; Metazoa; Chordata; Mammalia; Primates; Hominidae
Description: long non-coding RNA NONPTRT013760
Source: RNAcentral
GGAAUUUGCCUAGGAUCACACAGCUAAGUUCAGCCGAUCACAAAGCUGUGCCCUGAACCAUUGCUACCCAAAGCAUCAGAAAGUGCCAGAUGGACAUGAACAAAGCCAGGAUCAACCCGAAGAUGCCCAGCAGUACAGCCAGGCAGAUCACCGUCAGCAUCGACAUGCUCAAGGCCCCAGGCUUGCGGGCUGAGUCCCUCAGGUGGUCCACACUGGUGACAAACAUGACCCUCAACAGGGCUCGGGUCUGUAAGGGGGGGCUUCCCUGGUCCUCUACUACUAUCUCCAGCUCCCACUCACUCCCAAUGAGGCUGCUGGCAUUGGUGACAUUGACGAACAGCUGCCCCGUAUGAGGGUUGAGGAUGAAGAGGUGGGCUUCAUUUCCACUGCGGAUGCUGUAGAGGGGCUCUCCAUUUGCCCCCGAGUCUGCAUCUCUUGCCACAAUGGUUGUCAAAAGGAAUGGCCGGGAGCUGUGAGUGGCCAGUGGAGGUGUGUCAGUGCCUGCUGGACCCAAGCCAUUGGGAGUCUCGAUGGGCACCAGCAGGUGGCCUGUGGAGGCAUUCACAAGCACGGAGAGGCUGGCUUUUCCAUCGCUGAGUACAGGCUGGACCACCUCUGGGGCAUUAUCAUUGGCAUCCAAGAGGCUGACCCACACAGAGACACUGGAUGCAAGCAUGGGUUGCCCACUGUCCUCUGCGAUCACCUGGAACUCGAAGCCGGCCAUCUCUUCAUAGUUCAGUGACCUCUGAGCAGUGACCUCUCCUGUGUUGGAGUCAAUAGCUACUAAGUGAGCAACUGGGGAGUCCUGGAUGCGGUAUGAGACUUUUCCAUUAAUGCCCAAGUCUGCAUCAUGAGCCUUGAUGGUAAUGAGGUGAAGAGAGGGUAAGUUGUUUUCCCGCGUGGAGACUUCAUACCUGCUUUUCUCAAACACAGGUGCAUUGUCG